Molecule: ribosomal RNA, 621 nt
Filed under: Squalidus japonicus
Lineage: Eukaryota; Metazoa; Chordata; Actinopteri; Cypriniformes; Gobionidae
Description: partial 16S ribosomal RNA
Rfam family: Bacterial large subunit ribosomal RNA
Source: RNAcentral
CGCCUCUUUAUCAAAAACAUCGCCUCCUGCAACUAUAUUAAGUAUAGGAGGUCCAGCCUGCCCAGUGACUACGGGUUCAACGGCCGCGGUAUUUUGACCGUGCAAAGGUAGCGCAAUCACUUGUCUUUUAAAUAGAGACCUGUAUGAAUGGCUAAACGAGGGCUUAACUGUCUCCCCCUUCUGGUCAGUGAAAUUGAUCUAUCCGUGCAGAAGCGGGUAUAAUUAUACAAGACGAGAAGACCCUUUGGAGCUUAAGGUACAAAAUUCAACCACGUUAAACAACUCAACAAAAAGCAAGAACUUAGUGGAAAAUGAAAUUUUACCUUCGGUUGGGGCGACCGCGGAGGAAAACCCAGCCUCCGAGUGGAAUGGGCCAAACCCCCUAAAACCAAGAGAGACAUCUCUAAGCCACAGAACAUCUGACCAAAAAUGAUCCGGCUUUAAUAGCCGAUCAACGAACCAAGUUACCCUAGGGAUAACAGCGCAAUCCUCUCCCAGAGUCCAUAUCGACGAGGGGGUUUACGACCUCGAUGUUGGAUCAGGACAUCCUAAUGGUGCAGCCGCUAUUAAGGGUUCGUUUGUUCAACGAUUAAAGUCCUACGUGAUCUGAGUUCAGACCGG